RNAcentral lists this ribosomal RNA (371 nucleotides) under uncultured bacterium. Its description in RNAcentral is "partial 16S ribosomal RNA". It matches the Rfam family "Bacterial small subunit ribosomal RNA", at positions 338 to 701 of the family's 1533-position model. The record is from RNAcentral.
CCUACGGGAGGCAGCAGUAGGGAAUCUUCCACAAUGGGCGAAAGCCUGAUGGAGCAACGCCGCGUGGGUGAAGAAGGUCUUCGGAUCGUAAAACCCUGUUGGUAGAGAAGAAAGUGCGUGAGAGUAACUGUUCACGUGUCGACGGUAGCGAACCAGAAAGCCACGGCUAACUACGUGCCAGCAGCCGCGGUAAUACGUAGGUGGCAAGCGUUAGCCGGAUUUAUUGGGCGUAAAGGGAACGCAGGCGGUCUUUUAAGUCUGAGGUGAAAGCCUUCGGCUGAACCGGAGUAGUGCAUUGGAAACUGGGAGACUUGAGUGCAGAAGAGGUGAGUGGAACUCCAUGUGUAGCGGUGAAAUGCGUAGAUAUCUGG